ACGAACGCUGGCGGCAUGCCUAACACAUGCAAGUCGAACGAGACCUUCGGGUCUAGUGGCGCACGGGUGCGUAACGCGUGGGAAUCUGCCCUUGGGUUCGGAAUAACAGUUGGAAACGACUGCUAAUACCGGAUGAUGACGUAAGUCCAAAGAUUUAUCGCCCAAGGAUGAGCCCGCGUAGGAUUAGCUAGUUGGUGAGGUAAAGGCUCACCAAGGCGACGAUCCUUAGCUGGUCUGAGAGGAUGAUCAGCCACACUGGGAUUGAGACACGGCCCAGACUCCUACGGGAGGCAGCAGUGGGGAAUAUUGGACAAUGGGCGAAAGCCUGAUCCAGCAAUGCCGCGUGAGUGAUGAAGGCCUUAGGGUUGUAAAGCUCUUUUACCCGGGAUGAUAAUGACAGUACCGGGAGAAUAAGCGCCGGCUAACUCCGUG
Molecule: ribosomal RNA, 432 nt
Filed under: uncultured bacterium
Lineage: Bacteria
Description: partial 16S ribosomal RNA
Rfam family: Bacterial small subunit ribosomal RNA
Source: RNAcentral